RNAcentral lists this ribosomal RNA (425 nucleotides) under uncultured bacterium. Its description in RNAcentral is "partial 16S ribosomal RNA". It matches the Rfam family "Bacterial small subunit ribosomal RNA", at positions 354 to 796 of the family's 1533-position model. The record is from RNAcentral.
GUGGGGAAUAUUGGACAAUGGGCGCAAGCCUGAUCCAGCCAUGCCGCGUGAGUGAUGAAGGCCUUAGGGUUGUAAAGCUCUUUCACCGGUGAAGAUAAUGACGGUAACCGGAGAAGAAGCCCCGGCUAACUUCGUGCCAGCAGCCGCGGUAAUACGAAGGGGGCUAGCGUUGUUCGGAAUUACUGGGCGUAAAGCGCACGUAGGCUGAUAUUUAAGUCAGGGGUGAAAUACCGGGGCUCAACCCCGGAACUGCCUUUGAUACUGGGUAUCUUGAGUAGUGAAGAGGUCAGUGGAAUUGCGAGUGUAGAGGUGAAAUUCGUAGAUAUUCGCAGGAACACCAGUGGCGAAGGCGGCUGACUGGUCCAUUACUGACGCUGAGGUGCGAAAGCGUGGGGAGCAAACAGGAUUAGAAACCCGAGUAGUCC